RNAcentral lists this ribosomal RNA (1359 nucleotides) under uncultured bacterium. RNAcentral describes it as "bacterial SSU rRNA". It matches the Rfam family "Bacterial small subunit ribosomal RNA", at positions 28 to 1381 of the family's 1533-position model. The record is from RNAcentral.
AUUGAACGCUGGCGGCAGGCUUAACACAUGCAAGUCGAACGAUGAUUAUCUAGCUUGCUAGAUAUGAUUAGUGGCGGACGGGUGAGUAACAUUUAGGAAUCUGCCUAGUAGUGGGGGAUAGCUCGGGGAAACUCGAAUUAAUACCGCAUACGACCUACGGGUGAAAGGGGGCGCAAGCUCUUGCUAUUAGAUGAGCCUAAAUCAGAUUAGCUAGUUGGUAGGGUAAAGGCCCACCAAGGCGACGAUCUGUAACUGGUCUGAGAGGAUGAUCAGUCACACCGGAACUGAGACACGGUCCGGACUCCUACGGGAGGCAGCAGUGGGGAAUAUUGGACAAUGGGGGCAACCCUGAUCCAGCCAUGCCGCGUGUGUGAAGAAGGCCUUUUGGUUGUAAAGCACUUUAAGCAGGGAGGAGAGGCUAAUGGUUAAUACCCAUUAGAUUAGACGUUACCUGCAGAAUAAGCACCGGCUAACUCUGUGCCAGCAGCCGCGGUAAUACAGAGGGUGCGAGCGUUAAUCGGAAUUACUGGGCGUAAAGCGAGUGUAGGUCGCUCAUUAAGUCCCAUGGUAAAUUCCCCGGGCGUUAACCGGGGACCGGCCAUUGAUACCGGGUGUGGCUCGAAUAUUUGAGAGGGAAUUAGAAAUUCCAGGGGUAGCGGUGAAAUGCGUGGAGAUCUGGAGGGAAUACCGAGGGGGAGGCGGCUUCCUGGCAUAAUAUUGACACUGAGAUUCGAAAGCGUGGGUAGCAAACAGGCUUAGAUACCCUGGUAGUCCACGCGGUCAGCGAUGUCUACUAGCCGUUGGGGUCCUGGAGACUUUAGUGGCGCAGUUAACGCGAUAAGUAGACCGCCUGGGGAGUACGGCCGCAAGGUUAAAACCCAAAUGAAUUGACGGGGGCCCGCACAAGCGGUGGAGCAUGUGGUUUAAUUCGAUGCAACGCGAAGAACCUUACCUGGUCUUGACAUAGUGAGAAUCCUGCAGAGAUGCGGGAGUGCCUUCGGGAAUUCACAUACAGGUGCUGCAUGGCUGCCGUCAGCUCGUGUCGUGAGAUGUUGGGUUAAGUCCCGCAACGAGCGCAACCCUUUUCCUUAUUUGCCAGCGGGUUAAGCCGGGAACUUUAAGGAUACUGCCAGUGACAAACUGGAGGAAGGCGGGGACGACGUCAAGUCAUCAUGGCCCUUACGACCAGGGCUACACACGUGCUACAAUGGUAGGUACAGAGGGUUGCUACACAGCGAUGUGAUGCUAAUCUCAAAAAGCCUAUCGUAGUCCGGAUUGGAGUCUGCAACUCGACUCCAUGAAGUCGGAAUCGCUAGUAGUCGCAGAUCAGAAUGCUGCGGUGAAUACGUUCCCGGGCCU